RNAcentral lists this ribosomal RNA (364 nucleotides) under uncultured bacterium. Its description in RNAcentral is "bacterial SSU rRNA". It matches the Rfam family "Bacterial small subunit ribosomal RNA", at positions 8 to 352 of the family's 1533-position model. The record is from RNAcentral.
AGAGUUUGAUCAUGGCUCAGAAUGAACGCUAGCGGCGUGCUUAACACAUGCAAGUCGUACGAGAACUCUUUAGCUUGCUAAAGAUAGUAAAGUGGCGCACGGGUGAGUAACGCGUGGGUAAUCUACCUCUGAAUUUGGGAUAACUCCGCGAAAGCGGGGCUAAUACCGGAUAAUAUUUCAGGAUCUUCGGGUUUUGAAAUCAAAAGUGGCCUCUACAUGUAAGCUACUGUUUGGAGAUGAGCCCGCGUACCAUUAGCUUGUUGGUAGGGUAAUGGCCUACCAAGGCUACGAUGGUUAGCUGGUCUGAGAGGAUGAUCAGCCACACUGGAACUGACACACGGUCCAGACUCCUACGGGAGGCAGC